UACAUUCAAUAAGCGGAGGAAAAGAAACCAACAGGGAUUGCCUCAGUAACGGCGAGUGAAGCGGCAACAGCUCAAAUUUGAAAUCUGGCUCUUUCAGGGUCCGAGUUGUAAUUUGUAGAGGAUGUUUCGGGUGUGGCUCCGGUCUAAGUUCCUUGGAACAGGACGUCAUAGAGGGUGAGAAUCCCGUAUGUGACUGGUAGCCUAUGCUCAUGUGAAACUCCUUCGACGAGUCGAGUUGUUUGGGAAUGCAGCUCAAAAUGGGUGGUAAAUUUCAUCUAAAGCUAAAUAUUGGCCAGAGACCGAUAGCGCACAAGUAGAGUGAUCGAAAGAUGAAAAGCACUUUGGAAAGAGAGUUAAACAGUACGUGAAAUUGUUGAAAGGGAAGCGCUUGCAACCAGACUUGCAUGUAGCUGAUCAACCGGUGUUCUCACCGGUGCACUCAGUUGCGUUCAGGCCAGCAUCGGUUUCGACGGUUGGAUAAAGGCCUUGGGAAUGUAGCUUCUUUCGGGGAGUGUUAUAGCCCAGGGUGCAAUGCAGCCUGUCGGGACCGAGGACCGCGCUUCGGCUAGGAUGCUGGCGUAAUGGUUGUAAGCGACCCGUCUUGAAACACGGACCAAGGAGUCUAACAUCUAUGCGAGUGUUUGGGUGUCAAACCCAUACGCGUAAUGAAAGUGAACGGAGGUGAGAACCCUUAAGGGUGCAUCAUCGACCGAUCCUGAUGUCUUCGGAUGGAUUUGAGUAAGAGCAUAGCUGUUGGGACCCGAAAGAUGGUGAACUAUGCCUGAAUAGGGUGAAGCCAGAGGAAACUCUGGUGGAGGCUCGCAGCGGUUCUGACGUGCAAAUCGAUCGUCAAAUUUGGGUAUAGGGGCGAAAGACUAAUCGAACCAUCUAGUAGCUGGUUCCUGCGAUU
RNAcentral lists this ribosomal RNA (910 nucleotides) under Phacidium lacerum. Its description in RNAcentral is "eukaryotic LSU rRNA". It matches the Rfam family "Eukaryotic large subunit ribosomal RNA", at positions 39 to 968 of the family's 3401-position model. The record is from RNAcentral. Lineage: Eukaryota; Fungi; Ascomycota; Leotiomycetes; Phacidiales; Phacidiaceae.